AGAACUUGACAUGAUCUUCAGAAGUAAAUACCUAAUGAGCAUGACAUCUACCCUUAUGCAUGCAUUCAUUCCUCUCCCCUUUUCACUAACCAUCCCCAAAAGUUAUUACAAAUUAUUACAGCCCAAAAUGAAUCAGAAAAGAAAAGUUAAAAUUACAUCAAAAAUUCCAACUACAUCCAAACAGUCUAAUUCAGACUCAAAGCCCAACAAUAUGAGAUAAACCAACUUCUAGGAUCAGAUUUCCAAAAGACUUUCUCAUAUUUGGGGUGUGUCAAAGUUCCCAAGAGUCUCAAAGGAUUCCAGGAAGAGCUUUGCAGAAUUAAGAAUAUAGUGCAGUGUGGAAAUUCCAGCCCUCAUAUGUCCAAGUUCAGAGGGAACUCAAGGUCUCAAAGCAAGGCUAAUAAGAGAGGGGCAUAAAUUAAGAGUCUAAGAGUAACUGUAAGUGAAAAGGUGAAAGGGAGAGGCAUGGCAGGCUGGUGGUCAUGCCCAGCAAUUAGAAUGCUGGCACACCCCUGACCAGCCUAUUAGCCAAACACUGAGAGUUAGGAUCCAUUGGAUGCGGUUAUGGAUUGAACAAUAAUUAGGAUACUGUCAGGCCAUGAACUUAACUCAAGCACAUAGAAUGGAAUUGGGGUAGGGAUUCACAGCAGAAACAGAAGAAAAGAAAGGAAAUAUUUAGCACAAAUUGCUAAACUUGAGUAGUAAACAAAAGUCUGAAACUGUAAAGUAAACACAUAGGGGUGAAGUAGAAAAUUUAAAUAAAAGACAUACUAGUUGCAAAGAAAAAUAAGUAAGAAGACAGUAGCCUUGAGAGAUCCAAGUUGCAAACAAAGUAGUUCCAAAAGAUCUCAAGCAAAGCCAAGUGUUGAUUUCAAAAAGAAGUAUUGCAAGAAAUUAAGUAUCUAGAAGUGUUUUUGUUCGUGUCUUUCUGUGUGUUUGUAAAGAGGGAAGAAAGAUCUUUAUAUAGUUUUUGAAAACAAGCAGUACAUAGGCAAAGAGUGCACAAACAUGGAAGUAAUAAUCAAUUAGUAUCAAUUAAUACAACUGGACUCCUUUAAUUAAGGAUUCUAGUUCAAACGCUAGUCAAGGUAGAAUAAGGGAAAGAAAUCAGCUUAAUAAGGCUGAUUAGGGUAAAGAAAUCACAUAGGGCAUAAACAAGGUCAAAUACAUAGGGGAUAAUUAGGAAAUAUGGAAUAAUAGUGUAUUUGUAAAGUAAAAUAGAGCAUCAAUUCGAAAAUCAAUCAAG
RNAcentral lists this long non-coding RNA (1246 nucleotides) under Nicotiana benthamiana. Its description in RNAcentral is "long non-coding RNA (NBEN_LNC024352)". The record is from RNAcentral. Lineage: Eukaryota; Viridiplantae; Streptophyta; Magnoliopsida; Solanales; Solanaceae.